CCCUUAGAUGUCCUGGCCGCACGCGUGCUACACUGACGCAUACAGCGAGCACUUUCCAGUUCCGAGAGGCUACUGGUAAUCAUCAAUAUGCGUCGUGAUGGGGAUAGAUCUUUGGAAUUCUGGAUCUUGAACGAGGAAUGCCUAGUAAUCGCAGGUCAUUAGCCUGCGAUGAUUAAGUCCCUGCCCUUUGUACACACCGCCCGUCGCUACUACCGAUUUCGAGUGGUCAGGUGAAUCUUUCGGACUGUGGGCGCCCUUGAGGUGUUCGCGGAAAGUCAGGUAAAUCUUAUCACUUAGAGGAAGUAAAAGUCGUAACA
This 317-nucleotide ribosomal RNA is filed under the name uncultured eukaryote. RNAcentral's name for it is "partial 18S ribosomal RNA". It matches the Rfam family "Eukaryotic small subunit ribosomal RNA", at positions 1470 to 1796 of the family's 1831-position model. The record is from RNAcentral.